CCCCCUCUCCCUUAUAACACAGAACACGUGAAGCUAGAGCGGUUCAGUCUUCUGUCUAACGGUGAAUUCGUCUGAGCAGAGUGUCAUGCUGUUUCUCGCAUUUUCCACAGUUCCCAGGAGGUAAAAGAUCUCUGGCUGGAGGCCCUCCGAGGACAGAGCCAAGGCCACACGGGAGCAAAAUUCAUCACCAGACAGUCAGCCCCAACUCUGAUGAAGUUGACCAGCAGCUGCAAUGCUUCAAAAACACUAAAUGCCACUAAUAUGGAGACAUUAAUUGAAUGUCACUCAGAGGGUGAUAUCAAGGAACACCCUCUGUUGGCAUCAUGUCAGAGUGAAGACAGCCUUUGCCACCUAAUUGAAAUUAAGAAGAGAAAGAAGGUGCUGUCCUGGCUCUUUCUCAUGAGAAGGCUUUCCUCUUCGUCAGACUUUCCUGGGGCUUCGGAGCCAGAGUUGAAGGCGUCGCUAUUUGACCAGCCCCUGUCAGCCAUCUGCAGCAACAACGACACGCUCCCCAGACCCAUCCAGGAUAUCCUCACUAUUCUGUGCCUUAAAGGCCCUUCCACUGAAGGGAUAUUCAGGAAAGCAGCCAACGAGAAAGCCCGCAAGGAGCUCAAGGAGGAGCUCAACUCUGGAGGCGCGGUGGACCUCAAAAGCCUCCCUGUGCACCUCCUGGCCGUGGUCUUCAAGGACUUCCUCAGAAGUAUCCCGCUGAAGCUUCUGUCCUGUGACCUGUUUGAGGAGUGGAUGGGCGCCCUGGAGAAGCAGAGUGAGGAGGACAGGAUUGAGGCCCUGAAGCAGGUUGCAGCGAAGCUCCCGCGGCCCAACCUCCUGCUGCUCAAGCACCUGGUCUCUGUGCUCCACCUGAUCAGCAGGAACUCUGAGGUCAACAGGAUGGAUGCCAGCAACCUGGCCAUCUGCAUCGGACCCAACAUGCUGACCCCAGACAACGACCAGCACCUGUCGUUCGAAGCCCGGAGAGACGUGAACAAUAAGGUUAAGAUGCUGGUGGAAUUUCUCAUCGAUAACUGCUUGGAAAUAUUUGGGGAGACCAUUCCAGCACAUUCCAGCACUGCUUCUGAUGAUUCCCUGGAACACACUGACGGUUCAGACAUGUCAACCCUGCUGAACGACUCGGCCUACGACAGCAACGAUCCCGACCCCGACAUGGACUCCUCCCCCAGCAGGCGGCCCCCGGGGCCCUCGGACCCGGCUGCCGGCCUGGAGCCCAGAGGCCGGCAGCACACCUGGGAGCCCAUUGCCAGCACGGUGGCCAGACUGAAGGGCUCCCUCAGUCAGGUGGACCGGAGGUACUCGGACCCCAGCAUGGCAUCCAUCCCCAAGCAUCUCGAGGGCUGGAAAACAAACCAAAAAUUAACGCGAAGUGAGGAUGACUUCACCCUGGCCCGGGCAGCCUCCUGUUUUGCAAGCGAGGAAGCUGAGGACCCAUUUUCUGAGGAGGUGUUUCCUGCAGCUCAAGGCAAAAACCAGAGGCCCCAGGACCUGAGGGUGCAGGACUCGACUCAGGUUUUGGGGUUACCGCAUAGACCAGCGCCCCAGGCCGCCUCCAGUGGCUCUCUGGACACUUCCCCCGACGGCUCGCCCGUGACUUCUCCUUCCAGUCCCAAAAGAAACUUCUUCUUCACCAGACACCAGUCUUUCACAAAGGCUGAGAAAAGUAAGCCCAGCAGAGAAAUCAAAAAGCACUCCAUGUCGUUCUCCUUUGCCUCUCACAGAAGAGUGCUGACCAAAACCCCCAGCUCUGAGGCUGUGAGAGCCAAGGCCAUCACCAGGGACCAAGCAAAUAGAGGGUUGAAAAAAGAAAGCCAGCUCGCUGGCCGAAUUGUCCAGGAGAACGCCUCUGAAGUCCACGGCCAAACAGCUGGAGAGUUUCACUCGGGGUCCUGCGCCCUCUCGGUGGAGUACGUGUUCCCUCAGAGGAGCCCAGGAAGCCCACCCUCCUACGAGGAGGCCAUGCGGCACCAGGCCUUGGAGCUUGCGGCCGUCGGGGCCCAGACGGUGGGCAGCAUGAGGGCCAGGAUGCUCAGCCUGGACUCAGGCUUGCCACCUCCUCUCCCUUCCCACCGUGGAGGGGAUGCAAGAAACACGUGCAGUCAAGAGCCGCUGGGCAGGCACCGACGGUGGCCCAGGACUGGGAGCUGGACGGAGAGCGGGACUGUCUGCGCUUCUAUAGAAACGAGAGGACAGGUGACUGUCCCCGGGAGGCCAGAGCUGCAGCGGCCGAGAACUGUGUUGGAGCCUCGCCAGCAGGGCGAGCAGGACUCCCUGCUCCGACGGUGUUAUCACCCCGUCUUUGAGGCCGAGCAGCUCCGAUACGCUAAAGAAUCCUACGUUUAGGCUGGUGGGCCUGACGCCAGGACACAGCUCCCGGCAUCUCUGAGUGCGUGACUGUGUCAUGUGAACCGCUUUUGGACUCUGUUUUCCAAAAAGUCAUGAAUAAGCUCCUUUAGAAAGUUGGGUAGAGGCCUCCUGAGAGAGGAUAGCACACAACCACACGGGGCCUUAGGCAGCGUCUGCGCGCACCUGCGUGUGUGUGACGUGUAGCAGACGUAGAAAACACAGCCUAAACAUGGCAUUGGGUGCAAAGCUCUACAUAAAUAUGUGUAUAUAUUUGUUGGUAAACUUUCGGUCAACUGCAUUGCUGUCCUCCGCUUCCUGGGGCAUUUUUCUAUUGUUCAUAGAAUCCCAUCAAGGAAAUCAUUCACACACUGAUUCAUCCAGCAAGCAUUUCUUGAACAUAUAUUCAUUAUUCUGGACUAACAGGCAUAGUGAGAUGGAGACUUGUGAUUGGGAAGAAGAGACAAUCCCUGUUGUCCAGAAAUUCACACCACCAUAAAGAUGGACCCUCUUCAAGCCAAUUUUUGGGCAAAUGAUCACUCAGAGACCAGAAAAUUUGAGUACAAAUCAAAUGUGAAUGAGGAACCACCAGUGGGGUGAAGUGGGACCCUCCUCCUACCAUAGGCUACAAAGAGGGCACAUGGUGAGACCAGCACGCCUGCAGAAUGCAACAGCUCAUCAGAAAAAGGAAACACAGAAUGAUAACAUCUCUGUAGGAAAAGAAAGCUAAUGUGUCGGUACAAGAAAGAGGGUGUGAUCCACAUCCACAGGGCCUGAGGCCACACCCCAGAUGUGCUACCGUGGACCAGGUGCCAUGCUGUCUAAGCAUCAGCUUCUCCACCUGUAAAUAGAGGAUAAUCAUAACACGGCAUCAGUCGUGGAAUGCAUGUAAGAAAAACUCCAGGAAACAGAGAGCAGGGACGUGCGCUCUCUCUCUGUUAAAGGAACAGGUGGCAGCCCAGGGCUGGCAUGGUAGCUCCCAGACCCCCUCGGCCCCAGUUCCUUCACACCCGAGGCCACUUCGUGGGCAUGUGACCUGUGCAGUCACAUAGGGCUCCAUGCUUCAAAGUCAUAAAACAUGUCAAGUUUUCCUAAGUUAAUUUAUAAACUUAAGGUGUUCACAAUAAAAGAACCAAGAGGAGGUUUUCGAAGUUUGUUUUUUUUUUUUUUUUUGGUUGUUGCUGUUACUUAUUGGAACUAAACAAACUGAAUCUGAAAGUCAUAUUUCAAAAAGCAGUAAACUAAUAGGAAAGGGAAGUAUAGAACAGAGGAGCAGUGAAGAAGGCGAGCCCUCUGAUUUUAUACCAUGCUCUGUAUAGGAACAGGUGGGUCCCGGAGCAGGACUAGACAGCAAACCAACAGAACAGAAUAGAAAGCCCAAAAGCAGAGGCGAAUGCAUACGGGGCCUUAGUGUAUGAAGGUGGCAUUUCACCGCAGUGGGGAAUCUAAAGAUAAUUCAAUAUAUGGCAUCGGUUAUAAAUGAGUGGCCAUCUGGGGGGGAAAAAAGGUAGAACCAUAUCUCACAAUCUAUGCCAGGAUAAAUUCUAGAUGGAUCCAAGAUUUAAAUGUGGAAAGUAAAAGAAUGCUACUGUAUAGCACAGAGAACUA
This is an RNA transcript of Camelus dromedarius (Arabian camel), 3963 nucleotides long. It is a transcript of the gene named T cell activation RhoGTPase activating protein, with no coding region annotated. Lineage: Eukaryota; Metazoa; Chordata; Mammalia; Artiodactyla; Camelidae. The record is from RefSeq and is a predicted model, not a curated record. The transcript has 12 exons.